AUUGAACGCUGGCGGCAUGCCUUACACAUGCAAGUCGAACGGUAACAGGUCUUCGGAUGCUGACGAGUGGCGAACGGGUGAGUAAUACAUCGGAACGUGCCCGAUCGUGGGGGAUAACGGAGCGAAAGCUUUGCUAAUACCGCAUACGAUCUACGGAUGAAAGCAGGGGACCGCAAGGCCUUGCGCGGACGGAGCGGCCGAUGGCAGAUUAGGUAGUUGGUGGGAUAAAAGCUUACCAAGCCGACGAUCUGUAGCUGGUCUGAGAGGACGACCAGCCACACUGGGACUGAGACACGGCCCAGACUCCUACGGGAGGCAGCAGUGGGGAAUUUUGGACAAUGGGCGAAAGCCUGAUCCAGCCAUGCCGCGUGCAGGAUGAAGGCCUUCGGGUUGUAAACUGCUUUUGUACGGAACGAAAAGACUCCUUCUAAUAAAGGGGGUUCAUGACGGUACCGUAAGAAUAAGCACCGGCUAACUACGUGCCAGCAGCCGCGGUAA
Molecule: ribosomal RNA, 498 nt
Filed under: uncultured bacterium
Lineage: Bacteria
Description: bacterial SSU rRNA
Rfam family: Bacterial small subunit ribosomal RNA
Source: RNAcentral